CCUGCCCCUAAAAACAUUGCAGGCAUGGCUGGCUGCUGUGUCCCAUGCACAUCAGUAGGUGGCAGAGAGGAGAGAGGCUAUGUCUACACUCAGUGUUCUGACCUGUGAGCCUCUGAGUGAUUAGUAGCCUAACACU
This is a small nucleolar RNA of Mastomys coucha (southern multimammate mouse), 136 nucleotides long. RefSeq annotates it as small nucleolar RNA SNORA17. NCBI's taxonomy places the organism in Eukaryota, Metazoa, Chordata, Mammalia, Rodentia, Muridae. The transcript has a single exon. The record is from RefSeq and is a predicted model, not a curated record.